Sinocyclocheilus rhinocerous is the source of this 572-nucleotide long non-coding RNA. RefSeq lists it as uncharacterized. Lineage: Eukaryota; Metazoa; Chordata; Actinopteri; Cypriniformes; Cyprinidae. The transcript has 4 exons. The record is from RefSeq and is a predicted model, not a curated record.
UCCCAGCCGCAGUUUAUCACAGCUGUCCACAUCGUCCCCCAGGCUGUGGAUGACAGUCAGGCAGAAGGUGAAGAUGAUCAGCGGCCGUGUUGUUGACCGAAAGCGCAACAAACUCCUCCAGCGCAACGCCAUGUUGAACUGUCACGUGACUGCCGGAGCUCUUAAAGAAACAGUGCACUAGAUUCGCCGCACACAUAGCAUGUGAGGCUCGCGCAGGUGUAAACAGACAAAACAGGACUCAAUCUCAGCCCAAAACAACACUUGAAAUGCUGGAUUGUGUUUUAUGAGGGGUUCCAAGUUUUGAUUUAACCUCAAGACCAAGUGUAUGGACAUAAAUAUUGUAGGUCAAUCUGCACUGAUUUUUCAAGAUAACGACAAUGUAUGAGAACGUACCGACAGUGUCUGCUUCCGAGCGGCAGCAGGUGCUCCAGGCCUUGGAAAGACUUCAGUCCAAGCUCGUGCAGAGGGAUGAGUGGACCCACAGCGACAGGCUCGGCACGCUGAAGGAAGCCCUGCAGAGCCCUCUGUUCGGCCACAUCCUCACCCUGCAGCACUCUGUCAAACAGCUUAAA